UGGGGAAUAUUGGACAAUGGGCGCAAGCCUGAUCCAGCCAUGCCGCGUGAGUGAUGACGGCCUUAGGGUUGUAAAGCUCUUUCACCCACGACGAUAAUGACGGUAGUGGGAGAAGAAGCCCCGGCUAACUUCGUGCCAGCAGCCGCGGUAAUACGAAGGGGGCUAGCGUUGCUCGGAAUCACUGGGCGUAAAGGGCGCGUAGGCGGCCUGACAAGUCAGGGGUGAAAGCCUGUGGCUCAACCACAGAAUGGCCUUUGAUACUGUUGGGCUCGAGACCGGAAGAGGUUGGUGGAACUGCGAGUGUAGAGGUGAAAUUCGUAGAUAUUCGCAAGAACACCGGUGGCGAAGGCGGCCAACUGGUCCGGUUCUGACGCUGAGGCGCGAAAGCGUGGGGAGCAAACAG
RNAcentral lists this ribosomal RNA (403 nucleotides) under uncultured bacterium. Its description in RNAcentral is "bacterial SSU rRNA". It matches the Rfam family "Bacterial small subunit ribosomal RNA", at positions 355 to 775 of the family's 1533-position model. The record is from RNAcentral.